AGCACCGGCUAACUCCGUGCCAGCAGCCGCGGUAAUACGGAGGGUGCGAGCGUUAAUCGGAAUUACUGGGCGUAAAGCGCAUGCAGGUGGUUUGUUAAGUCAGAUGUGAAAGCCCGGGGCUCAACCUCGGAAUUGCAUUUGAAACUGGCAGACUAGAGUACUGUAGAGGGGGGUAGAAUUUCAGGUGUAGCGGUGAAAUGCGUAGAGAUCUGAAGGAAUACCGGUGGCGAAGGCGGCCCCCUGGACAGAUACUGACACUCAGAUGCGAAAGCGUGGGGAGCAAACAGGAUUAGAUACCCUGGUAGUCCACGCCGUAAACGAUGUCUACUUGGAGGUUGUGGCCUUGAGCCGUGGCUUUCGGAGCUAACGCGUUAAGUAGACCGCCUGGGGAGUACGGUCGCAAGAUUAAAACUCAAAUGAAUUGACGGGGGCCCGCACAAGCGGUGGAGCAUGUGGUUUAAUUCGAUGCAACGCGAAGAACCUUACCUACUCUUGACAUCCAGAGAACUUUCCAGAGAUGGAUUGGUGCCUUCGGGAACUCUGAGACAGGUGCUGCAUGGCUGUCGUCAGCUCGUGUUGUGAAAUGUUGGGUUAAGUCCCGCAACGAGCGCAACCCUUAUCCUUGUUUGCCAGCGAGUAAUGUCGGGAACUCCAGGGAGACUGCCGGUGAUAAACCGGAGGAAGGUGGGGACGACGUCAA
Molecule: ribosomal RNA, 700 nt
Filed under: Vibrio vulnificus
Lineage: Bacteria; Pseudomonadati; Pseudomonadota; Gammaproteobacteria; Vibrionales; Vibrionaceae
Description: bacterial SSU rRNA
Rfam family: Bacterial small subunit ribosomal RNA
Source: RNAcentral